GGAAACCCUGAUGCAGCCAUGCCGCGUGUGUGAAGAAGGCCUUCGGGUUGUAAAGCACUUUCAGUAGGGAGGAAGGUAGUGUAGUUAACACCUGCACUAUUUGACGUUACCUACAGAAGAAGCACCGGCUAACUCCGUGCCAGCAGCCGCGGUAAUACGGAGGGUGCGAGCGUUAAUCGGAAUUACUGGGCGUAAAGCGCAUGCAGGCGGCCUGUUAAGUCAGAUGUGAAAGCCCGGGGCUUAACCUCGGAAUUGCAUUUGAAACUGGCAGGCUAGAGUCUUGUAGAGGGGGUAGAAUUUCAGGUGUAGCGGUGAAAAUGCGUAGAGAUCUGAAGGAAUACCAGUGGCGAAGGCGGCCCCCUGGACAAAGACUGACGCUCAGAUGCGAAAAGCGUGGGGAGCAAACAGGAUUAGAUACCCUGGUAG
Molecule: ribosomal RNA, 426 nt
Filed under: uncultured bacterium
Lineage: Bacteria
Description: bacterial SSU rRNA
Rfam family: Bacterial small subunit ribosomal RNA
Source: RNAcentral